RNAcentral lists this long non-coding RNA (390 nucleotides) under Nicotiana tabacum (common tobacco). Its description in RNAcentral is "long non-coding RNA (NTAB_LNC000710)". Lineage: Eukaryota; Viridiplantae; Streptophyta; Magnoliopsida; Solanales; Solanaceae. The record is from RNAcentral.
GGUUCCUCAGCUGCUGCAUCUGUGGUUUUCUCAGCCACUGCUUCUUCAGUUACUGGAGCUGAUUCAUCUGCUACAGGGACAGCUUUCUCUGUUUCUGGUUCCUCGACAGGGGCUGCUUCGAGUUCAGCCUCCGCGACAGGGGCUGCAACCUCUUCAACAGGAGCCGCAACUGGUUCCUCAGCUGCUGGCUCCUCUGUUUCUAUGGCUGCAGGUUCUGCUGCAGCCACAGGUUCUUCAGCAGCAGGGGCUGCUUCCUCAGCGGGAGCAGGCUCUUCUACUGGUGCUGCUGCUGAUUCGACGACGGAUUCGCUUUCUACAACUGGGGUUGGUUCCUCUACUUUGGUUUCCUCUGGGGUUGUUUUUACCUCAACCUCAGCUGGAGCAGUCUCU